This 72-nucleotide transfer RNA is filed under the name Jimgerdemannia flammicorona. RNAcentral describes it as "tRNA-Gln". It matches the Rfam family "tRNA". Rfam says of the family: Transfer RNA (tRNA) molecules are approximately 80 nucleotides in length. Lineage: Eukaryota; Fungi; Mucoromycota; Endogonomycetes; Endogonales; Endogonaceae. The record is from RNAcentral.
GGUUUCGUAGUGUAAUGGUUAUCACACAAGACUCUGAAUCUUGUAAUCCGAGUUCGAUUCUUAGUAAGACCU